AAGCUCGUAGUUGAAUUUCGGGGUUAGUAGGUUGGUCAUGCCUCUGGUAUGUACUGAUCUCACUGAUUCCUCCUUCCUUAUGAACCGUAAUGCCAUUAAUUUGGUGUUGCGGGGAAUUUGGACUGUUACUUUGAAAAAAUUAGAGUGUUUAAAGCAGGCUAACGCUUGAAUACAUUAGCAUGGAAUAAUGAAAUAGGACGUUCGAUCCUAUUUUGUUGGUUUCUAGGAUUGACGUAAUGAUUAAUAGGGAUAGUUGGGGGCAUUAGUAUUCAAUUGUCAGAGGUGAAAUUCUUGGAUUUAUUGAAGACUAACUACUGCGAAAGCAUUUGCCAAGGAUGUUUUCAUUAAUCAAGAACGAAAGUUAGGGGAUCGAAGACGAUCAGAUACCGUCGUAGUCUUAACCAUAAACUAUGCCGACUAGGGAUCGGAUGAUGUUAAUUUUUUAAUGACUCAUUCGGCGCCUUACGGGGAACCAAAGUGUUUGGGUUCCGGGGGGAGUAUGGUCGCAGGGCUGAAACUUAAAGGAAUUGACGGAAGGGCACCACCAGGGGUGGAGCCUGCGGCUUAAUUUGACUCAACACGGGGAAACUCACCAGGUCCAGACAUAGUAAGGAUUGACAGAUUGAGAGCUCUUUCUUGAUUCUAUGGGUG
RNAcentral lists this ribosomal RNA (651 nucleotides) under uncultured Rhizophagus. RNAcentral's name for it is "SSU rRNA". It matches the Rfam family "Eukaryotic small subunit ribosomal RNA", at positions 624 to 1276 of the family's 1831-position model. The record is from RNAcentral. Lineage: Eukaryota; Fungi; Glomeromycota; Glomeromycetes; Glomerales; Glomeraceae.